Molecule: ribosomal RNA, 388 nt
Filed under: Agaricomycetes sp.
Lineage: Eukaryota; Fungi; Basidiomycota; Agaricomycetes
Description: partial small subunit ribosomal RNA
Rfam family: Eukaryotic small subunit ribosomal RNA
Source: RNAcentral
AUUCCAGCUCCAAUAGCGUAUAUUAAAGUUGUUGCAGUUAAAAAGCUCGUAGUCGAACUUCGGGCCUGGCCGGGCGGUCUGCCUAACGGUAUGUACUGUCUGGCCGGGCCUUACCUCUUGGUGAGCCGGCAUGCCCUUCACUGGGUGUGUCGGUGAACCAGGACUUUUACCUUGAGAAAAUUAGAGUGUUCAAAGCAGGCCUAUGCUCGAAUACAUUAGCAUGGAAUAAUAAAAUAGGACGUGUGGUUCUAUUUUGUUGGUUUCUAGAGUCACCGUAAUGAUUAAUAGGGAUAGUUGGGGGCAUUAGUAUUCAGUUGCUAGAGGUGAAAUUCUUGGAUUUACUGAAGACUAACUUCUGCGAAAGCAUUUGCCAAGGAUGUUUUCAUUA